CGGAUAGAGCCAACGUAUCUUGCUCGUAUUCAGCCACUCUGUGUGCCUUUCUGUCGUCGUCGGGUUCCACUUGUGGGCCUGGCUGGCGGUGGUUUGGCGCCAUACGGAGUGGUGCAGUUGCGGGUGGAGUGCGUCGAGGCGUCCCGGCCGAGGGUUGGGGCCCGUGGUUGAGGCUAUUCUUCGGAGUAGUACCCGCCGCGGUGCUUCGAUCGUUCGUUCGGGAUUGUCGUUGGUUGGGUGCGGCAGAGACGUGUGCGAUUGCGUAAAUUCGGGCAUCUGGUGUGGGUCGCUUGCGACACCUACCUGUUUGUUCGUCUGUGCGUGGUUGUUCACUCGCGCUCCGGACCUCGGCGUAAAGGUUGGUCAUCUAUCCGACCCGUCUUGAAACACGGACCAAGGAGUUUAGCGUUUACGCGAGUGAUUGAGUGUUGAAAACUCAAAAGCGUAAUGAAAGUGAAGAUAUUUACUCGAUAAGUUGAUAUGCGAUCCGGUUGGCUUCGGCUGGCCGGCGCAGCAUAGCCCCGCCUCGAUUGCUUGCAAUGGGGCGGAGGUAGAGCGUUAGCGCUGAGACCCGAAAGAUGGUGAACUAUGCCUGAGCAGGAUGAAGCCAGAGGAAACUCUGGUGGAAGUCCGAAGCGGUUCUGACGUGCAAAUCGAUCGUCUGAUUUGGGUAUAGGGGCGAAAGACUAAUCGAACCAUCUAGUAG
This 706-nucleotide ribosomal RNA is filed under the name Abursanema iranicum. RNAcentral describes it as "LSU rRNA". It matches the Rfam family "Eukaryotic large subunit ribosomal RNA", at positions 420 to 950 of the family's 3401-position model. Lineage: Eukaryota; Metazoa; Nematoda; Chromadorea; Rhabditida; Sphaerulariidae. The record is from RNAcentral.